Mycena vulgaris is the source of this 92-nucleotide non-coding RNA. The record is from the annotation of a GenBank genome assembly. Lineage: Eukaryota; Fungi; Basidiomycota; Agaricomycetes; Agaricales; Mycenaceae.
GCACCGCUGGUGUAUGGAACACACACUGUCCUCUUAUUUAAGGCCAUCUUCCAAUAAAGCAGUGAGACGGGGUUCGAUUCCCCUGCGGUGCA